This is a long non-coding RNA of Branchiostoma floridae (Florida lancelet), 814 nucleotides long. RefSeq lists it as uncharacterized. The record is from RefSeq and is a predicted model, not a curated record. The transcript has 4 exons. NCBI's taxonomy places the organism in Eukaryota, Metazoa, Chordata, Leptocardii, Amphioxiformes, Branchiostomatidae.
GAGACAACGAGAAGACACUAUAUAAACAGAACGUAUGCCGCAUUUCAUUUGUACAUCGGACAGAAAACCGCAGCUAGAUAUUGACGCGCAGGUCUGAUCGUCGCACGACAAGAAAAAUGAAGGUGUCAACGAUGUCUGCUCUUCUUCUUGCCUUGGUCUGCUGUGCUUUGCUUGUCGAAGUCGCCACAGCUGCCGACCUGUCAAAUCUGAAGACCAAACAGGACGUACUGAACUACAUGCAGAAAGCUGAGGACAAGACAACAGCUGCCAAGGAAAUCUACGACGAGCUUGUCAACCAGGGGAAAGCGAAGCUAGCCAAUAAAUUUAAGAAGAGGGCAAAAUCUUACAUCAAGCGGGAGCGCAGGAGGAAGAAUGAUGAUGAUUAAACUUGCCGAGGCUGACCAGACCGUCUGAUGGACUCCUACGAGAGAAAUUAUAAUUGUCAAAUGUAAAGAAAUACAAAUGAUAAUGCAAAGUAACAUUGUAUCAGAUAGAAAAAUAAUGUCAUGAUUUGUACAAAAUUGUCAGUUGUGAUAUUACAUAAAAAUUGAAGUAAAAAAACGUCGCUCUAACUACAAGUUGUCUCUAGGAAUGUUGUAAAAAAAAUCUAAGUUAUGUCGCAUGCAUCUACGAGUUCUAAUCUUGGUCUAUAUCUAGUAAACGUUCAGAAGUGAUACACAUAUUAUAGCAGAGCCAUGUUUGUUAUAUCAACUGUUUCCGUGCAUGCAAAAAAUUGUAUAUGUUCUAACCAUCUUCUGAUAUUGUGUUGACUUGUAGAGAGGAUAAAAUAAACAGUUACUACUUCGUAAGCCAA